UAAAUAAUCCCAAUUAUUUAUAAAUCACAUUGAUAGAUUGAGUUUAUUAAAAAUUCAUAAUGCAAUAAUUUACAACGAUUGAUAAAGCUAGGUGAAAAUAAAACCAUACAGUACUUAAAAAGUCUAUCUAAAAGAAAUUAAAAGAAAGAAUUGUUGCAGGUAAAGUCAGUGAUGGUCAGCAUCUCUCAAUUACGUCAAAGGACUUUAAGCGAGCACUCCAGCCCAUUCAUCAUGACCAUCACCGCUAUCAAAAUUCUCUGUGAAAAAUAAAAGCCAUGGACACAACAUUUUUUUUAAAAAGUGACAAUUUCUAUAAACACAUUACGGGCUGCUGCUGACAAACAUGACAUUGCGUCAGUAGGAUAAAACUAACCUGGGUCACGAUAGACUAAAACCAGUUCUCAUUUCCUCCUAGUGGGUGAACGAUCCAAUGCUUGGUAAAUUCUGCUUUAUUACAAUCAUUGUCAAUUGGUGAAUUUGUAACAAAUCAAAGCAGUUCACACUUAAAAGAGGAAGUUGUGGUUAUUGUUUUCUUUAUUAUGAUAUCAUGACUUGCAAAAGUGACCUUGGUCCAGCUGGAAGGAACACACUAACGCACGCACGCACUCAGUGCAC
Molecule: long non-coding RNA, 615 nt
Organism: Hippocampus comes (tiger tail seahorse)
Lineage: Eukaryota; Metazoa; Chordata; Actinopteri; Syngnathiformes; Syngnathidae
Exons: 2
Source: RefSeq, a predicted model, not a curated record